UGGGAGAGUAAAGUGGCGCACGGGUGAGUAACGCGUGGGUAACCUACCCUUGAAUUGGGGAUAACUCUUCGAAAGGGGAGUUAAUACCGAAUAAUAUUCCAAUUUCUGCGGGAGUUGGAAUCAAAGGUGGCCUCUGCAUGCAAGCUAUCGUUUAAGGAUGGGCCCGCGUGCCAUUAGCUAGUUGGUAGGGUAAUGGCCUACCAAGGCUACGAUGGUUAGCUGGUCUAAGAGGAUGGCCAGCCACACUGGAACUGAGACACGGUCCAGACUCCUACGGGAGGCAGCAGUGGGGAAUCUUGCGCAAUGGGGGAAACCCUGACGCAGCAACGCCGCGUGGGUGAUGAAGGCCUUCGGGUCGUAAAGCCCUGUCAGGUGGGAAGAAACUUGUGGAUGCUAAUAUCAUCCAUACUUGACGGUACCACCGGAGGAAGCACCGGCUAACUCCGUGCCAGCAGCCGCGGUAAUACGGAGGGUGCAAGCGUUGUUCGGAAUUAUUGGGCGUAGAGCGCGUGUAGGCGGUUGGGUAAGUCAGA
Molecule: ribosomal RNA, 533 nt
Filed under: uncultured bacterium
Lineage: Bacteria
Description: bacterial SSU rRNA
Rfam family: Bacterial small subunit ribosomal RNA
Source: RNAcentral